CGGCGGGGAGCAAGGGGCGUAGGCACAAGCCAUAGCUUCUUGUUCUUUGCAGUAAGGCAUUAAUUUGUUUAAGGUGGCAAGGCCUCCUUUUUGUGGAUCCAGGUUGUUGCUGGGGUGUGUCUCCGUGUGUGGCCACCCCGGCGCCCAGAACAGUGUUCACUUCAGCGUGUGGGGCGUUGUUUUCCAGGAGCCACCGUGUGCUGACACCUUGGUGUGCCCACAGCUGUGCAGAAUGAAUCACAGAUAUCAGAGAUAGAACACACCUGUUACUGUCGGUCAUCAGGCUUGGCAUGCAUGUGUUCUAGUUUCCAUUUACAGGACAGUCCAUACCCUUCCUCAGGAGGUUCUGUUCCUUACUUCAUUCAUUCUUUCAGUCAGCCCUGAGUGUCACCUGUCUUCUGGGGAUUUGCUGAGGCCAAGGGGCAGACAAAGAUAGGCAAGUGACUGUCCUGCUCUCAGUUAACUAACUCCCGUUCUCCUGGGAGAGCUACACCACCCGCCGGUAGAGUCACUCUAGGAGGCAAGCACUGGACACAGGCCAGUGAAUCCAUGGAUGAUCACACCACUAAUGGAAUAACUCAUUACUGCUGAGAUAUGCUGGAAGAUUUCUUACAAAAGAUGUCUUUCAGGAAGUUGUAGUCAAGCUGUUGGCUAGCACUGAAAUUAUCUGAAGGUUCUACUGGAGGACAUGCCAGUUCCAAGCCUACUCACAUCAUUGUCUGCAGGCCUCCAUUCCUUGCUCGUUGUUGGCUGGACAUCUUAGUUCCCUACUAGAAUUGUCCUAACCAGCUGCAGAUACCAAAAGUGUGAGUCAUUUGUUGACAAUACACGAUUAUCAAAAUGAAGUCUUUGUGUAAUUGGUUUUAAUUACUACCACCACCCCCAGAAACUGGCUACAAGUGAACUUGUCAUGAGCUUAAAUAGAAGUGAAUGCAGUUUUCUUGACUAAGCCCAAAUACGACUUUAUAAAUGGAAAAAACGGAUCCUAAGAAGUAGCAAUCCGGACUCUGUCUUUUACCUGCAUCUGCCUUUGAAUGGACCUACUGAAGAGCUU
Molecule: non-coding RNA, 1054 nt
Organism: Ceratotherium simum simum (southern white rhinoceros)
Lineage: Eukaryota; Metazoa; Chordata; Mammalia; Perissodactyla; Rhinocerotidae
Source: RefSeq, a predicted model, not a curated record